UCGUCGCCGGCGAGCGCGUCGCUCGACGCGUUGUAGUCGCGGCGGGCCGCGUCGUACUCGGCGGCGGCGGCGACC
Molecule: transfer RNA, 75 nt
Filed under: Tautonia plasticadhaerens
Lineage: Bacteria; Pseudomonadati; Planctomycetota; Planctomycetia; Isosphaerales; Isosphaeraceae
Description: Planctomycetes bacterium ElP tRNA-Tyr
Source: RNAcentral